RNAcentral lists this ribosomal RNA (497 nucleotides) under uncultured bacterium. Its description in RNAcentral is "partial 16S ribosomal RNA". It matches the Rfam family "Bacterial small subunit ribosomal RNA", at positions 28 to 507 of the family's 1533-position model. The record is from RNAcentral.
GAUGAACGCUGGCGGCGUGCCUAAUACAUGCCAGUCGAGCGAACAGACGAGGAGCUUGCUCCUCUGACGUUAGCGGCGGACGGGUGAGUAACACGUGGAUAACCUACCUAUAAGACUGGGAUAACUUCGGGAAACCGGAGCUAAUACCGGAUAAUAUAUUGAACCGCAUGGUUCAAUAGUGAAAGACGGUUUUGCUGUCACUUAUAGAUGUAUCCGCGCCGCAUUAGCUAGUUGGUAAGGUAACGGCUUACCAAGGCGACGAUGCGUAGCCGACCUGAGAGGGUGAUCGGCCACACUGGAACUGAGACACGGUCCAGACUCCUACGGGAGGCAGCAGUAGGGAAUCUUCCGCAAUGGGCGAAAGCCUGACGGAGCAACGCCGCGUGAGUGAUGAAGGUCUUCGGAUCGUAAAACUCUGUUAUUAGGGAAGAACAAAUGUGUAAGUAACUAUGCACGUCUUGACGGUACCUAAUCAGAAAGCCACGGCUAACUACGUG